UUGGCGUGUUCGCUGCUGCUCUCCACCGUUUCGGUAACGGGGCGCCGGUUCGUUGGCAGCGUGGGCCGGGGCGUGCGCUCGCCCCUGCGGAGGCGGCACGGCGGAGCGGGGGGGCAGGCGGGCCCCGGAGCAGGGUUGUGUGGCGGCGUCGGCGGGAGGACGGCUCCUGUGGCAGCAGGCUCGGCCGAGAGUGCUGGGUAGUCCACCGAAGGGGGACAUCUUGAAGAGAAGCAGCUCAACCUAGCGAUCCAGUUGUUGAUUUUGGUCAUCGCCUGUAAGGGCAGCAUCCGAGCGUAAGAGGAAUCUAGGAGCCGUAUCGAAAAGGUAAUAGGUUUGAAAGAGAGACAGACAAAUCGAGCUCUAUCGUUCUUCCACGUAGUUAAAGAGCGAGAGACUUGUCGGUUAAGCGUGUGUGUACAAGGGUUUCGGAAAGGAUACUGAACAGUAGCAAUAAUACCGAAGCAGAACAAAAAUGAGGUUUCAUGGAAGAUGGUGUAGCUAAGUAUUAGGUGAUGUGCCUGCCUGCCUAAUAACCUAGCCCGACUUGCUGUAUGUAGUGUUUCCAAACAGUUUACCCUGUAAUGUAUGAUGCAAAGUGGUGUAUUAAGACCUUUCCUUUGAGGGAAAGAAGAAAAAAGAAAGGGGGGGGGGGAAACAUGGGGAAGAGAAAAAGAACGUGCAUAAGUCGAAGUGUUUUGUUGGAAGCGAAAUGCAAUUUUCUCUCUUUGUUACAGAGGUGGAAGCAAUGAUAGCAAAUGCUGACAAAGAGCAAAGCUGGACGAGCGUUUUUUUGCGAUUAGUCCCUAAGGGGCGGGCUGAAACUAGGAAGCAAAAAUGCAGCAGCGGACCCUCGAUAUCCCCAGAAGCUGCGACAGUAGGAGGUGUUCUGGCCUGGGUAACUAAGAUUCAUUGCCACGGCUGAAGCUGAAGAGACCAGAAAAACGUAAGCAAGCCGAAGUAAUAAAAUCAAAUGGAACCAAGCGAGAGCUGUCUCCGUUGCCCCAAAAGGGAAAGCCUGUUCCUCCUGGUGAGGAAGGUUCACCAUUAAUAGCGAUCAGAAUAAUAGAUGACCAACAUCUAACGGAAGGUCGAUGGAUUUUACUAAGCCUCCAUCAACAAGCGCUGGCUGACAGAGCUGUUGCGUCCCAGCGGAGACUCUUAGGCAAGACAGAGGAGUUCAGCUACACAGCCUGCCAGAAGAACGUCGCCCGGGAGGGGUUGCUAGCCUGGAGUUAUAGGCGCCGAUGCACAUGGCUCGUUCUGUCAGGCGUUCGGCACAUCGGGGAGCAACUGUAUGCUGCCGUGAAGAACUGCAAGCUCCCGCUCUCAGCCCUUUGCAAGUUAUCAGGUGUCAAGAGCAGCCAGGAGACUCCAAAUGCCGGCGGAAAGGUUCUCUGCCCGGUCCUGAUGAGGAGCCUUUGGCCGUAG
RNAcentral lists this long non-coding RNA (1428 nucleotides) under Apteryx rowi (Okarito brown kiwi). Its description in RNAcentral is "lncRNA (ENSARWG00000011284.1)". The record is from RNAcentral. Lineage: Eukaryota; Metazoa; Chordata; Aves; Apterygiformes; Apterygidae.